UACGUAGGUGGCAAGCGUUGUCCGGAUUUAUUGGGCGUAAAGCGCGCGCAGGCGGUCCUUUAAGUCUGAUGUGAAAUCUUGCGGCUCAACCGCAAGCGGUCAUUGGAAACUGGGGGACUUGAGUACAGAAGAGGAAAGCGGAAUUCCACGUGUAGCGGUGAAAUGCGUAGAUAUCGGGAGGAACACCUGAGGCGAAGGCGGGCUACUGGGCCGAUACUGACGCUGAUGCGCGAAAGCCAGGGGAGCGAACGGG
This 253-nucleotide ribosomal RNA is filed under the name uncultured bacterium. RNAcentral describes it as "partial 16S ribosomal RNA". It matches the Rfam family "Bacterial small subunit ribosomal RNA", at positions 524 to 776 of the family's 1533-position model. The record is from RNAcentral.